Molecule: ribosomal RNA, 2930 nt
Filed under: Escherichia coli
Lineage: Bacteria; Pseudomonadati; Pseudomonadota; Gammaproteobacteria; Enterobacterales; Enterobacteriaceae
Description: 23S ribosomal RNA
Rfam family: Bacterial large subunit ribosomal RNA
Source: RNAcentral
GGGUUGUGAGGUUAAGCGACUAAGCGUACACGGUGGAUGCCCUGGCAGUCAGAGGCGAUGAAGGACGUGCUAAUCUGCGAUAAGCGUCGGUAAGGUGAUAUGAACCGUUAUAACCGGCGAUUUCCGAAUGGGGAAACCCAGUGUGUUUCGACACACUAUCAUUAACUGAAUCCAUAGGUUAAUGAGGCGAACCGGGGGAACUGAAACAUCUAAGUACCCCGAGGAAAAGAAAUCAACCGAGAUUCCCCCAGUAGCGGCGAGCGAACGGGGAGGAGCCCAGAGCCUGAAUCAGUGUGUGUGUUAGUGGAAGCGUCUGGAAAGGCGCGCGAUACAGGGUGACAGCCCCGUACACAAAAAUGCACAUGCUGUGAGCUCGAUGAGUAGGGCGGGACACGUGGUAUCCUGUCUGAAUAUGGGGGGACCAUCCUCCAAGGCUAAAUACUCCUGACUGACCGAUAGUGAACCAGUACCGUGAGGGAAAGGCGAAAAGAACCCCGGCGAGGGGAGUGAAAAAGAACCUGAAACCGUGUACGUACAAGCAGUGGGAGCACGCUUAGGCGUGUGACUGCGUACCUUUUGUAUAAUGGGUCAGCGACUUAUAUUCUGUAGCAAGGUUAACCGAAUAGGGGAGCCGAAGGGAAACCGAGUCUUAACUGGGCGUUAAGUUGCAGGGUAUAGACCCGAAACCCGGUGAUCUAGCCAUGGGCAGGUUGAAGGUUGGGUAACACUAACUGGAGGACCGAACCGACUAAUGUUGAAAAAUUAGCGGAUGACUUGUGGCUGGGGGUGAAAGGCCAAUCAAACCGGGAGAUAGCUGGUUCUCCCCGAAAGCUAUUUAGGUAGCGCCUCGUGAAUUCAUCUCCGGGGGUAGAGCACUGUUUCGGCAAGGGGGUCAUCCCGACUUACCAACCCGAUGCAAACUGCGAAUACCGGAGAAUGUUAUCACGGGAGACACACGGCGGGUGCUAACGUCCGUCGUGAAGAGGGAAACAACCCAGACCGCCAGCUAAGGUCCCAAAGUCAUGGUUAAGUGGGAAACGAUGUGGGAAGGCCCAGACAGCCAGGAUGUUGGCUUAGAAGCAGCCAUCAUUUAAAGAAAGCGUAAUAGCUCACUGGUCGAGUCGGCCUGCGCGGAAGAUGUAACGGGGCUAAACCAUGCACCGAAGCUGCGGCAGCGACGCUUAUGCGUUGUUGGGUAGGGGAGCGUUCUGUAAGCCUGUGAAGGUGUGCUGUGAGGCAUGCUGGAGGUAUCAGAAGUGCGAAUGCUGACAUAAGUAACGAUAAAGCGGGUGAAAAGCCCGCUCGCCGGAAGACCAAGGGUUCCUGUCCAACGUUAAUCGGGGCAGGGUGAGUCGACCCCUAAGGCGAGGCCGAAAGGCGUAGUCGAUGGGAAACAGGUUAAUAUUCCUGUACUUGGUGUUACUGCGAAGGGGGGACGGAGAAGGCUAUGUUGGCCGGGCGACGGUUGUCCCGGUUUAAGCGUGUAGGCUGGUUUUCCAGGCAAAUCCGGAAAAUCAAGGCUGAGGCGUGAUGACGAGGCACUACGGUGCUGAAGCAACAAAUGCCCUGCUUCCAGGAAAAGCCUCUAAGCAUCAGGUAACAUCAAAUCGUACCCCAAACCGACACAGGUGGUCAGGUAGAGAAUACCAAGGCGCUUGAGAGAACUCGGGUGAAGGAACUAGGCAAAAUGGUGCCGUAACUUCGGGAGAAGGCACGCUGAUAUGUAGGUGAAGUCCCUCGCGGAUGGAGCUGAAAUCAGUCGAAGAUACCAGCUGGCUGCAACUGUUUAUUAAAAACACAGCACUGUGCAAACACGAAAGUGGACGUAUACGGUGUGACGCCUGCCCGGUGCCGGAAGGUUAAUUGAUGGGGUUAGCGCAAGCGAAGCUCUUGAUCGAAGCCCCGGUAAACGGCGGCCGUAACUAUAACGGUCCUAAGGUAGCGAAAUUCCUUGUCGGGUAAGUUCCGACCUGCACGAAUGGCGUAAUGAUGGCCAGGCUGUCUCCACCCGAGACUCAGUGAAAUUGAACUCGCUGUGAAGAUGCAGUGUACCCGCGGCAAGACGGAAAGACCCCGUGAACCUUUACUAUAGCUUGACACUGAACAUUGAGCCUUGAUGUGUAGGAUAGGUGGGAGGCUUUGAAGUGUGGACGCCAGUCUGCAUGGAGCCGACCUUGAAAUACCACCCUUUAAUGUUUGAUGUUCUAACGUUGACCCGUAAUCCGGGUUGCGGACAGUGUCUGGUGGGUAGUUUGACUGGGGCGGUCUCCUCCUAAAGAGUAACGGAGGAGCACGAAGGUUGGCUAAUCCUGGUCGGACAUCAGGAGGUUAGUGCAAUGGCAUAAGCCAGCUUGACUGCGAGCGUGACGGCGCGAGCAGGUGCGAAAGCAGGUCAUAGUGAUCCGGUGGUUCUGAAUGGAAGGGCCAUCGCUCAACGGAUAAAAGGUACUCCGGGGAUAACAGGCUGAUACCGCCCAAGAGUUCAUAUCGACGGCGGUGUUUGGCACCUCGAUGUCGGCUCAUCACAUCCUGGGGCUGAAGUAGGUCCCAAGGGUAUGGCUGUUCGCCAUUUAAAGUGGUACGCGAGCUGGGUUUAGAACGUCGUGAGACAGUUCGGUCCCUAUCUGCCGUGGGCGCUGGAGAACUGAGGGGGGCUGCUCCUAGUACGAGAGGACCGGAGUGGACGCAUCACUGGUGUUCGGGUUGUCAUGCCAAUGGCACUGCCCGGUAGCUAAAUGCGGAAGAGAUAAGUGCUGAAAGCAUCUAAGCACGAAACUUGCCCCGAGAUGAGUUCUCCCUGACUCCUUGAGAGUCCUGAAGGAACGUUGAAGACGACGACGUUGAUAGGCCGGGUGUGUAAGCGCAGCGAUGCGUUGAGCUAACCGGUACUAAUGAACCGUGAGGCUUAACCUUACAACGCCGAAGCUGUU